Pelodiscus sinensis (Chinese soft-shelled turtle) is the source of this 231-nucleotide non-coding RNA. NCBI's taxonomy places the organism in Eukaryota, Metazoa, Chordata, Testudines, Trionychidae. The record is from RefSeq and is a predicted model, not a curated record.
GUGUGAGACAAAGGGCGGCGGGGGCCGCGGCUACGCGCUGCUCCCUCCAAACGGGAAGCGUCGUGGAGAAACUACAGCGUGGCCCGCUUCCAGGCUGUCUGCCCCUUCCCACCCCCACCCCCAGCACGCAGUCCCUCGGAGAGCGCUGGGACUUUUCCACGGGGCAGGCAAAUUUUAAGUGCAUCGCACACGCUGAGAUCUGUCUGCACUGAAUUGUGAGAAUUAAAAAAA